This is a long non-coding RNA of Gasterosteus aculeatus aculeatus (three-spined stickleback), 1171 nucleotides long. NCBI's taxonomy places the organism in Eukaryota, Metazoa, Chordata, Actinopteri, Perciformes, Gasterosteidae. The record is from Ensembl.
CUCAGAUCCAGCUCUUUAAGACUAGAUGACUGGGAGCUGAGAACUGAGAACAGAGCUUCACAGCCUCUCCCUGAGAGGUUACAGCCACUCAGUCUGAAGAGACAACAUUGAAGAAAAUAUGAACAAUAAGUAGAACAGAUGGAAGCAUAUUUACCUUGAUGUAUGAAUCUAACUCUCUCUGUACUUACAGAGCUUUUUUGGAGGCUUUGACCACAGGCAGCAGCCUCAGAAGAGCCUCCUCUGAACCAGAGUAUUUCUUCAGGUCAAACACGUCCAGAUCUUCUUCUGAUAAAAACCUCGUAGGAGAGUCUGAUUGGUUUCCAGGGAAAGACCCAGGAGGAAGCGGAGGAACAAGUCCAGGUGUCCAUUAGGACUCUGUAAGGCCUUGUCCACAGCACUCUGGUAGAGACGCGUUGGUUCAGGUUUGUAUAUAAAUGCUUUAAACCAGUGGAAAAUUGUUUGUUCUUCUAUGAGCAGAUUGGCACCAUAGUUGAUGAAGGUCAGAUGAACAUGAAGAGCAGCCAGAAACUCCUGAACACUCAGAUGGACGAAGCAGAACACCUUGUCCUGGUACAGUCUGCUCUCCUCUCUAAAGAUCUGAGUGAACACUCCUGAGUAAACUGAGGCUGCUCUGAAAUCGAUGCCACACUCGGUCAGGUCGGAUUCAUAGAAUAUCAGGUGUCCUUUCUGCAGCUGAUCAAAGGCCAGUUUUCCCAGAGCCUUGAUCAUCUUCCUGCUCUCGGGACUCCAGUGUGGAUCCGUCUCAGCUCCUCCAUCGUAUUUGACCGUCUUCACUUUGGACUGAACCACCAGGAAGUGGAUGUACAUCUCAGUCAGGGUCUUGGGCAGCUCUCCUCCCUCUCUGGCCUUCAACUCCUCCUCCAGAACUGUAGCAGUGAUCCAGCAGAAGACUGGGAUGUGGCACAUGAUGUGGAGGCUUCGUGAGGUCUUGAUGUGAGAGAUGAUUCUGCUGGCCUGCUCCUCAUCUAUGAACCUCUUCUUGAAGUACUUCUCCUUCUGGGGGUCAGUGAACCCUCUGACCUCUGUCACCAUGCCAACACACUCAGGAGGGAUCUGAUUGGCUGCUGCAGGUCGUGUGGUGAUCCAGAGGCGAGCAGAGGGAAGCAGCUUCCCCCUGAUGAGGUUUGUGAGGAGCACAUCCAGUGAGGCC